Molecule: ribosomal RNA, 256 nt
Filed under: uncultured Pseudomonas sp.
Lineage: Bacteria; Pseudomonadati; Pseudomonadota; Gammaproteobacteria; Pseudomonadales; Pseudomonadaceae
Description: partial 16S ribosomal RNA
Rfam family: Bacterial small subunit ribosomal RNA
Source: RNAcentral
CGGCGGACGGGUGAGUAAUGCCUAGGAAUCUGCCUGGUAGUGGGGGACAACGUUUCGAAAGGAACGCUAAUACCGCAUACGUCCUACGGGAGAAAGCAGGGGACCUUCGGGCCUUGCGCUAUCAGAUGAGCCUAGGUCGGAUUAGCUAGUUGGUGAGGUAAUGGCUCACCAAGGCGACAUCCGUAACUGGUCUGAGAGGAUGAUCAGUCACACUGGAACUGAGACACGGUCCAGACUCCUACGGGAGGCAGCAGCG